Molecule: ribosomal RNA, 756 nt
Filed under: uncultured bacterium
Lineage: Bacteria
Description: bacterial SSU rRNA
Rfam family: Bacterial small subunit ribosomal RNA
Source: RNAcentral
AGAGUUUGAUCCUGGCUCAGAAUCAACGCUGGCGGCGUGCCUAACACAUGCAAGUCGAACGAGAAAGGGACUUCGGUCCUGAGUACAGUGGCGCACGGGUGAGUAACACGUGACUAACCUACCCUGGAGUGGGGAAUAACUGAGGGAAACCUUAGCUAAUACCGCAUAAUACCUACGGGUCAAAGGAGCAAUUCGCUUCAGGAGGGGGUCGCGGCCGAUUAGUUAGUUGGCGGGGUAAUGGCCCACCAAGACAGUGAUCGGUAUCCGGCCUGAGAGGGCGCACGGACACACUGGAACUGAAACACGGUCCAGACUCCUACGGGAGGCAGCAGUGGGGAAUUUUGCGCAAUGGGGGAAACCCUGACGCAGCAACGCCGCGUGGAGGAUGAAAUCCCUUGGGAUGUAAACUCCUUUCGAUCGGGACGAUUAUGACGGUACCGGAAGAAGAAGCCCCGGCUAACUUCGUGCCAGCAGCCGCGGUAAUACGAGGGGGGCAAGCGUUGUUCGGAAUUAUUGGGCGUAAAGGGAGCGUAGGCGGUUUUGUAAGUCGUGUGUGAAAUCUUCGGGCUCAACCCGAAGUCUGCACACGAAACUGCAGGGCUUGAGUAUGGGAGAGGUGAGUGGAAUUCCUGGUGUAGCGGUGAAAUGCGUAGAUAUCAGGAGGAACACCUGUGGCGAAAGCGGCUCACUGGACCAUUACUGACGCUGAGGCUCGAAAGCUAGGGGAGCAAACAGGAUUAGAUACCCUAGUAGUCC